Molecule: ribosomal RNA, 265 nt
Filed under: uncultured bacterium
Lineage: Bacteria
Description: partial 16S ribosomal RNA
Rfam family: Bacterial small subunit ribosomal RNA
Source: RNAcentral
UACGGAGGGUGCAAGCGUUAUCCGGAUUUACUGGGUUUAAAGGGUGUGUAGGCGGGCUUUUAAGUCAGUGGUGAAAUCUCCGGGCUCAACCUGGAAACUGCCAUUGAUACUAUUAGUCUUGAAUAUUGUUGAGGUAGGCGGAAUAAGUCAUGUAGCGGUGAAAUGCAUAGAUAUGACUUAGAACACCAAUUGCGAAGGCAGCUUGCUAAACAAUGAUUGACGCUGAGGCACGGAAAAGCGUGGGGGAUCAAACCAGGAUUAGAAA